CCUACGGGAGGCAGCAGUGGGGAAUUUUGGACAAUGGGCGCAAGCCUGAUCCAGCCAUGCCGCGUGUCUGAAGAAGGCCUUCGGGUUGUAAAGGACUUUUGUCAGGGAAGAAAAGGCUGUUGCUAAUAUCAAUAGCUGAUGACGGUACCUGAAGAAUAAGCACCGGCUAACUACGUGCCAGCAGCCGCGGUAAUACGUAGGGUGCGAGCGUUAAUCGGAAUUACUGGGCGUAAAGCGAGCGCAGACGGUUACUUAAGCAGGAUGUGAAAUCCCCGGGCUCAACCUGGGAACUGCGUUCUGAACUGGGUGACUAGGGUGUGUCAGAGGGAGGUAGAAUUCCACGUGUAGCAGUGAAAUGCGUAGAGAUGUGGAGGAAUACCGAUGGCGAAGGCAGCCUCCUGGGAUAACACUGACGUUCAUGCUCGAAAGCGUGGGUAGCAAACAGGAUUAGAUACCCGGGUAGUC
Molecule: ribosomal RNA, 465 nt
Filed under: uncultured Neisseria sp.
Lineage: Bacteria; Pseudomonadati; Pseudomonadota; Betaproteobacteria; Neisseriales; Neisseriaceae
Description: bacterial SSU rRNA
Rfam family: Bacterial small subunit ribosomal RNA
Source: RNAcentral